RNAcentral lists this ribosomal RNA (253 nucleotides) under uncultured bacterium. RNAcentral's name for it is "partial 16S ribosomal RNA". It matches the Rfam family "Bacterial small subunit ribosomal RNA", at positions 524 to 776 of the family's 1533-position model. The record is from RNAcentral.
UACAGAGGGUGCAAGCGUUGUUCGGAAUUAUUGGGCGUAAAGCGCGUGUAGGCGGUUUUGCAAGUCGGGUGUGAAAGCCCUCAGCUCAACUGAGGAAGUGCGCCCGAAACUGCAGAGCUUGAGUACCGGAGAGGAUGGCGGAAUUCCCCAAGUAGAGGUGAAAUUCGUAGAUAUCAGGAGGAACACCAGUGGCGAAGGCGGCUCACUGGACCGGUACUGACGCUGAUGCGCGAAAGCGUGGGGAGCAAACGGG